AUAAAUAUAGUUUAUAAAAAACAUUAUAUUUUCAUUAUAAAAAUGAUACCUAUCUAUUUAUC
RNAcentral lists this transfer RNA (62 nucleotides) under Pheidole flaveria. RNAcentral's name for it is "tRNA-Glu". The record is from RNAcentral. Lineage: Eukaryota; Metazoa; Arthropoda; Insecta; Hymenoptera; Formicidae.